GAGGAGUUAGUUUAAAUAAAACAUUAGUUAGUCAAACUAAAUUUACCUGCUAAAAGUACACCUUA
RNAcentral lists this transfer RNA (65 nucleotides) under Psammotettix sp. EMHAU-2015-Zz053036. RNAcentral describes it as "tRNA-Asp". Lineage: Eukaryota; Metazoa; Arthropoda; Insecta; Hemiptera; Cicadellidae. The record is from RNAcentral.